RNAcentral lists this transfer RNA (86 nucleotides) under bacterium. Its description in RNAcentral is "tRNA-Ser". It matches the Rfam family "tRNA". Rfam says of the family: Transfer RNA (tRNA) molecules are approximately 80 nucleotides in length. Their secondary structure includes four short double-helical elements and three loops (D, anti-codon, and T loops). Further hydrogen bonds mediate the characteristic L-shaped molecular structure. tRNAs have two regions of fundamental functional importance: the anti-codon, which is responsible for specific mRNA codon recognition, and the 3' end, to which the tRNAs corresponding amino acid is attached (by aminoacyl-tRNA synthetases). tRNAs cope with the degeneracy of the genetic code in two manners: having more than one tRNA (with a specific anti-codon) for a particular amino acid; and 'wobble' base-pairing, i.e. permitting non-standard base-pairing at the 3rd anti-codon position. The record is from RNAcentral.
GGAGAGUUGCCAGAGAGGUCGAAUGGGCUCGCCUGGAACGCGAGUAGACGUUAUACGUCUCGAGGGUUCGAAUCCCUCACUCUCCG